This 386-nucleotide ribosomal RNA is filed under the name uncultured bacterium. Its description in RNAcentral is "bacterial SSU rRNA". It matches the Rfam family "Bacterial small subunit ribosomal RNA", at positions 30 to 416 of the family's 1533-position model. The record is from RNAcentral.
AUUGAACGCUGGCGGCAUGCCUUACACAUGCAAGUCGAACGGCAGCACGGGAGCAAUCCUGGUGGCGAGUGGCGAACGGGUGAGUAAUAUAUCGGAACGUGCCCAGUCGUGGGGGAUAACGCAGCGAAAGUUGUGCUAAUACCGCAUACGAUCUAUGGAUGAAAGCGGGGGAUCGCAAGACCUCGCGCGAUUGGAGCGGCCGAUAUCAGAUUAGGUUGUUGGUGAGGUAAAAGCUCACCAAGCCUGCGAUCUGUAGCUGGUCUGAGAGGACGACCAGCCACACUGGAACUGAGACACGGUCCAGACUCCUACGGGAGGCAGCAGUGGGGAAUUUUGGACAAUGGACGCAAGUCUGAUCCAGCAAUGCCGCGUGCAGGACGAAGGCC